RNAcentral lists this transfer RNA (358 nucleotides) under uncultured Microcystis sp. Its description in RNAcentral is "partial 16S-23S ribosomal RNA intergenic spacer". The stretch from base 133 to 206 matches the Rfam family "tRNA". The record is from RNAcentral. Lineage: Bacteria; Bacillati; Cyanobacteriota; Cyanophyceae; Chroococcales; Microcystaceae.
AAGGGAGACCUAAUUCCGGUAGGAGACGAAAAAAAAGUAGUCCCAACCAAGAAUCAAUCCCAAAAGGUCGGAACGAGGUAUGAGGCUUUCAAACUAGGUUCUGGGUUCAUAAAAGACCUGAAUCAGGAACAAGGGCUAUUAGCUCAGGUGGUUAGAGCGCACCCCUGAUAAGGGUGAGGUCCCUGGUUCGAGUCCAGGAUGGCCCACCUGCACAGGUGGCAAAAACAAGAGAAGCUCCGAAUCAGCACCUUAUCUUAUAUACAUAUAUAAGAGAGAAUGCUGGCUCUGAGUACAGAGUCCAGAGGAACCUUGAAAACUGCAUAGAGCUAGGUGAAAAAGCCGAAAAAGAAGACCGCAA